AAGAAGAGUUGUGAAACACAGAGACUGCUAAUUAUCUGAGCCUAGAGUUAAAGCCUUUAGUCUUCUUA
Molecule: transfer RNA, 68 nt
Filed under: Triturus karelinii (Balkan newt)
Lineage: Eukaryota; Metazoa; Chordata; Amphibia; Caudata; Salamandridae
Description: tRNA-Ser
Source: RNAcentral